Molecule: unclassified non-coding RNA, 200 nt
Filed under: soil metagenome
Description: partial contains internal transcribed spacer 2 and large subunit ribosomal RNA
Source: RNAcentral
UCACCAAUCAAGCCACGCUUGGUAUUGGAUGCGGCCUGGCCCCCCGUGGCCGGGCCGCCCGAAAUGCAUCGGCGAGGACACCGACCCCCGGCGUGUUAAGAAUCUCACAGUUCGUGACGUCGGGAGCACCGGUCGACCUCCGCCGUGAAACUUGUCAUCAAGUUGACCUCGGAUCAGGUAGGAAUACCCGCUGAACUUAA